Molecule: ribosomal RNA, 366 nt
Filed under: uncultured eukaryote
Lineage: Eukaryota
Description: partial 18S ribosomal RNA
Rfam family: Eukaryotic small subunit ribosomal RNA
Source: RNAcentral
CAAUAGCGUAUAUUAACGUUGUUGCAGUUAAAAAGCUCGUAGUUGGAUUUCUGGAGGGAGCGUCGGCCCGUAUUUACGAGUGCGUGACGUCUCUGUCCAUCCUUGCGGGAAGGCACGGCAUUGAUUUGUUGUGUCGGAUCGCAUCAUUUACUGUGAAAAAAUUAGAGUGUUCAAAGCAGGCUUUCGCUUGAAUACAUUAGCAUGGAAUAAUAAGAUAGGACUUUGGUGCUAUUUUGUUGGUUGAGCCUAAAGUAAUGAUUAAUAGAGAUAGUUGGGGGCACCUGUAUUGCGUUGUCAGAGGUGAAAUUCUUGGAUUUACGCAAGACAAACAGCUGCGAAAGCGUCUGCCAAGGAUGUUUUCAUUAA